This 510-nucleotide ribosomal RNA is filed under the name Triticum aestivum (bread wheat). RNAcentral describes it as "partial small subunit ribosomal RNA". The record is from RNAcentral. Lineage: Eukaryota; Viridiplantae; Streptophyta; Magnoliopsida; Poales; Poaceae.
AUGCCGCUCGUUGGAGACCCAUCGUUGUGCCCUGAGGAGGGGCAUGUGGUCAUCACCUCCACCCAGGCCAUGGAAGACAGCGCCGUCAACCUCUCCACCCUGGGUGCGCUGGUGUGGCUUGGAGGGAGUCGACCACGCAUCAACGCCGAGGAGGUCAGGAACGCCAUCGCCACCAAAUUCGUCAUCAACCGCAACUUCAUCAAGGUGGUGCCGCACUAUCCAGAGGAUUUCUUCGUCCUCUUCUCCCACCAGCACCACCGCGACCUAGUCACCGCCUCGCCGGGCCGCUUCAAUCACGGCGGGCUGGACUUCCACACCGCCAAAUGGAGGCCGGAGGCACACGCUGAUCUGGUGGAGGCGUACUACCAUGUUCACCUGUGCAUUGAAAAUCUGCCGCUCAACGCAUGGUGCGACGAGGUGGCAACCCAAGUGCUCGGCCCCGACACUUUCCUGCACUACUUCGACAUCGCCACAGUCAAGAGAGAUGACUCCUCCUACCUCGACCUCUAG